This 433-nucleotide ribosomal RNA is filed under the name uncultured bacterium. RNAcentral's name for it is "partial 16S ribosomal RNA". It matches the Rfam family "Bacterial small subunit ribosomal RNA", at positions 29 to 507 of the family's 1533-position model. The record is from RNAcentral.
AGCGAACGCUGGCGGCAGGCCUAACACAUGCAAGUCGAACGGAUCCUUCGGGAUUAGUGGCGGACGGGUGAGUAACACGUGGGAACGUGCCCUUUGGUUCGGAACAACUCAGGGAAACUUGAGCUAAUACCGGAUGUGCCCUUCGGGGGAAAGAUUUAUCGCCAUUGGAGCGGCCCGCGUCUGAUUAGCUAGUUGGUGAGGUAACGGCCCACCAAGGCGACGAUCAGUAGCUGGUCUGAGAGGAUGAUCAGCCCCGCUGGGACUGAGACACGGCCCAGACUCCUACGGGAGGCAGCAGUGGGGAAUCUUGCGCAAUGGGCGAAAGCCUGACGCAGCCAUGCCGCGUGAAUGAUGAAGGUCUUAGGAUUGUAAAAUUCUUUCAGCGGGGACGAUAAUGGCGGUACCCGCAGAAGAAGCUCCGGCUAACUUCGUG